GCUUACGGACAUACCAGCCUGGCUAUGCCUGAUCUCGUCUGAUCUCGGAAGCUAAGCAGGUUUGGGCCUGGUUAGUACUUGGAUGGGAGACCGCCUGGACCAGGUGCUGUAAGCA
Molecule: ribosomal RNA, 115 nt
Filed under: Carassius auratus (goldfish)
Lineage: Eukaryota; Metazoa; Chordata; Actinopteri; Cypriniformes; Cyprinidae
Source: RNAcentral